RNAcentral lists this ribosomal RNA (303 nucleotides) under uncultured bacterium. RNAcentral's name for it is "bacterial SSU rRNA". It matches the Rfam family "Bacterial small subunit ribosomal RNA", at positions 355 to 674 of the family's 1533-position model. The record is from RNAcentral.
UGGGGGAUAUUGCACAAUGGGGGGAACCCUGAUGCAGCGACGCCGCGUGAGUGAAGGAGUACUCCGGUAUGUAAAGCUCUAUCAGCAGGGAAGAAGCAAGACGGUACCUGACCAAGAAGCCCCGGCUAACUACGUGCCAGCAGCCGCGGUAAUACGUAGGGGGCGAGCGUUAUCCGGAUUCACUGGGUGUAAAGGGAGCGUAGACGGCCGAUCAAGUCUGGAGUGAAAGCCCGGGGCCCAACCCCGGGACUGCUCUGGAAACUGGUGGGCUAGAGUGCUGGAGAGGUAAGUGGAAUUCCUAGU